UAAAUGAGGACUUGUAUCAACGGCAUCACGAGGAUCUCACUGUCUCCCCUCUCUAAUCAGUGAAACUGAUCUCUCCGUGAAGAAGCGGAGAUUUCGUUAUAAGACGAGAAGACCCCAUGGAGCUUUAAACCCAAUGACACCCCCUUUUGACAUAUCCUUACAAGCUACUGGGAACUGAUCACUUGGUUUUAGGUUGGGGUGACCACGGAGUAUAAAAUAACCUCCAUGAAGGACGGAGAAACUUCCUUAUCCAAGAGUUACACCUCUAAGAAUUACAACACUAAUUUAUAAUGAUCCGACAUUCGAUCAACGGACCAAGUUACCCUGGG
Molecule: ribosomal RNA, 329 nt
Filed under: Boophis opisthodon
Lineage: Eukaryota; Metazoa; Chordata; Amphibia; Anura; Mantellidae
Description: partial 16S ribosomal RNA
Rfam family: Bacterial large subunit ribosomal RNA
Source: RNAcentral